RNAcentral lists this ribosomal RNA (371 nucleotides) under Mesostena angustata. RNAcentral's name for it is "partial 12S ribosomal RNA". Lineage: Eukaryota; Metazoa; Arthropoda; Insecta; Coleoptera; Tenebrionidae. The record is from RNAcentral.
GAUACCCUAUUAUUUUAAAUGUAAAUUUUUAAACUGAAAUUAUUAAUAGUUAAGGCCUUUAAAGUUAAAGAUUUUGGCGGUAUUUUAGUCUUUUCAGAGGAACCUGUCUUUUGAUCGAUAGUCCACGAUGAAUUUUACUUUAUUUUUUAAUUUGCAUAUCGUCGUUAAAUAAAUAUUUUAUUAGAAUUUUAAUGUUUGAGAGUUUUUAUUAAAAGGUAAUUCAGAUCAAGGUGUAGUUUAUAAUAAAGUUAAGAUGGGUUACAUUAUAUUUAUAUGUAGUUUUCUUUUUAAAAAUGGGAAUUAAAAUGGAUUUGAAAGUAAUAUUUAUAUUUAUGUAAUAUGAUUUAGCUCUAAAAUAUGCACACAUCGCC